RNAcentral lists this long non-coding RNA (412 nucleotides) under Ananas comosus (pineapple). RNAcentral's name for it is "long non-coding RNA (ACOM_LNC034382)". Lineage: Eukaryota; Viridiplantae; Streptophyta; Magnoliopsida; Poales; Bromeliaceae. The record is from RNAcentral.
UAAUUUUAUUUAUUUAUUUAUUUAUAUUUAUUCAUCUCUUUAAAACCUAAAACUCCUUAUAUUUUAUGCCAUUAUUAAAUUACAACAGAUAAAGUUUGAGAAUUAAAAUGUCACGUAGUUCAAAUUUAAGAACCAAAAAAUCUUAUUUAGCAAAAUCUCUCUUAUAUUGAUUUAAAAGGAUCAGCAUUGUGUCUCAUAAAAUAGGUCAGAUUGAACUGAAUCAAGAUCAAAUUACACGAGCGUUGCAUGUCUGUAUACUUUAAGCAAAUUAGUUGUCCCUUUUCUAACAGCUUGAAUUUUUUAAAUUAUUGCAGUAUCCAAUCUCGUAACAUUGUACAUCUGUACACUUUAAGUGAAUUUAUUGUUUUCUUUUGAACAGCUCGAGCUUUUAAAACUGUAGUUAGCGCUUACG